RNAcentral lists this unclassified non-coding RNA (1998 nucleotides) under Rhagoletis pomonella (apple maggot). RNAcentral describes it as "uncharacterized LOC118755596, transcript variant X1". Lineage: Eukaryota; Metazoa; Arthropoda; Insecta; Diptera; Tephritidae. The record is from RNAcentral.
UCCGACUGUUAAAACAAAAUUCUGAGUGAGAGAACCGGACCUAAUAAAAAUUUUUACUGUAAUAAGAAUUUUAUGCGUUAGAGCGAGUAAGUGGAAAUGAAGCAAAAUUUGACAGCUUUGAUCACAGAGGCUGUGACUUUAGCAAAAGUUUGACAUCUUUGAUCACAGUAGGCUGUAAAUAAAAGCGUUAAUUUUGCAAAAACAUUUGAAGAUUGCCGAAACAUUGCGAUUUAAUCAUAUAAUUAAGUCAGGCUCCACACCAGCAUAUCCACCACCUUCAACGCCGCCACCAAUAAACAGCGCUGCAUACAUUAUUCGGUAAGUUUUCAUGCGACGAAUAAACGUUGCUUCUGCUGCAACUGCCUACAUUAAUCAUGUUCCUGGUGCUUCCCGAUUUGCACAUUUCAAAAGAAAAGCUGUUUUUGCAAUUAAUAAACCUUAUGGCGUACAGAAACAGCUUCCUCUAAAAACCUGCGAAGCGUGAAGUACCUGGAACAGGCUUAUUUAGUGCGUUCCAGAACGUCUACGAUUUGCAGGUUUUGCAGGAUUUAGUCCAAAGUCGUUCCCGUACGCCACGUUCACAUAAGGCUUAUUAAAGGCAAAAACAGCUGUUCCGGAAAACCUGCAAAUCCUGCAAAUCGUGAAGUACGGGAACAGGCUAAUUAUGUGCAAAUGUAAACAACAAAAGAAAGUGCAGUGUUUACAUAUGUAAAAAGUGUAGUAGGACUGGUGAAUGCGGUCAUUCUGGAAGCCAUAGUUUACAAAGUGUAGUGCACAGUUCAACAACAGUGAUUGGGUUUGCUACUUCAUAGCAGCAGUGGAAAUGGAAACAUUGCUCUGCUAUUGCUACUUCUCUACUUGAAUAGAUAAGAAGCACGGCCAGAAUCGGAAAACACACGAGGACCUUCCUUGUUUUACUUGGUUCUAUGUUUCGUUGAGGCACAGAUCAGGUAGGAGAACUAAAAUAUGAACGAAGUGAUAUUUGUAGUCAGAGUAAUAGCACAUACAACAAUAUUAUGAUAGCCUCAACGAAACAUAGCACUAAUUAAAACAAGAAAGGCCUUCUUGUGUUUCCCGAUUCUGACACUGCUUCUCAUCUAUUCAAGUAGAGAAGUUGCAAUAGCAGAUCCACGUUUCCGUGCCACUGCUGCUAUGAAGUAGUGAACUCAACCACUGGUAGUUGUCAUAAUUCGCAGUAGUAACAGUUUAACAUGAAGCAAUGGAUUUGUCACCACUGUUCCUGGGAGAUACCGAAGCGCUCUCUCCACCACGCACGAGCAACACAGAUGUAGCCCUACAUAGAAAGCGCUUUCAUGUGGCACUGCCUUACGAGGAGCGCUUUGUCUCCCAGCCAACAGUAACCACCAACACGGGUGUAGCCACUACAACAACAACAAGCAACACAGGUCAACAAUUUACCUUGUCUCACCUGCUGGAGAGGCAAAAAGAAAUGUUUGAUGGCGUCAUGGCCGCCAUUGGAAGGGUUGAGUCAAAGGUGGACGGAAUAGCAAAUGCUCUGGCCGAAAAGAUGCCCGAACGCGCGGAAGUUCAAGCUCAAGGGCAGCUACUGCGAGAGUGCAAAGUGGUGACCUAGAAAGUUCACCAAAGUAUUUCCCGAAUCACUGGAGAUGCUAUUAGUAAAGAGCAUACUUUGCUUCAAAGUAUGCUUCCACUAUCAUCCCAGGAAAAGUUAAAUACUUUGGAGAAUCUUUUGGGAAACAAACCACACUCCGAUGCGAUGCUGAACAUAAUUUUAAAAUUGAAGGGUGCUAAGGGUUGUGUGAAACACGUGUUGAGAAGCAUUUUUGCCGACACUCUACUCAUUUCAUACAAUUAUGAGGGCAAAGCCAACAAAGCUCCACUUCUGGGGCUAAAAACAAUAGAAUUAGUUUUCGAUGCGUUUGUGAGUAUGCCCAAAAUUGACCUCAUUGCGGAAAUCAGAAAGCACGUGUUCCUAAGCCACAAUAGGUACAAACAAAUUGUAAUAAAAAAAAAAAU